This 76-nucleotide transfer RNA is filed under the name Limisphaerales bacterium. RNAcentral describes it as "Verrucomicrobia subdivision 3 bacterium (sediment metagenome) tRNA-Ala". It matches the Rfam family "tRNA". Rfam says of the family: Transfer RNA (tRNA) molecules are approximately 80 nucleotides in length. Their secondary structure includes four short double-helical elements and three loops (D, anti-codon, and T loops). Lineage: Bacteria; Pseudomonadati; Verrucomicrobiota; Verrucomicrobiia; Limisphaerales. The record is from RNAcentral.
GGGGCUGUAGCUCAGUUGGUAGAGCAGUGGCUUUGCAAGUCACGUGUCAGGAGUUCAAGUCUCCUCAGCUCCACCA